GUGGGGAAUAUUGGGCAAUGGGGGAAACCCUGACCCAGCAACGCCGCGUGAAGGACGAAGGCCUUCGGGUUGUAAACUUCUUUGAUCAGGGACGAAACAAAUGACGGUACCUGAGGAACAAGCCACGGCUAACUACGUGCCAGCAGCCGCGGUAAUACGUAGGUGGCAAGCGUUAUCCGGAUUUACUGGGUGUAAAGGGCGUGUAGGCGGUCUUGCAAGUCGGAAGUGAAAUUCCCGGGCUUAACCCGGGCGCUGCUCCCGAAACUGCGAGACUUGAGUACUGGAGAGGAUAGUGGAAUUCCUAGUGUAGCGGUAAAAUGCGUAGAUAUUAGGAGGAACACCAGUGGCGAAGGCGGCUAUCUGGACAGUAACUGACGCUGAGGCGCGAAAGCGUGGGGAGCAAACAGGAUUAGAUACCCUAGUAGUCC
Molecule: ribosomal RNA, 428 nt
Filed under: uncultured bacterium
Lineage: Bacteria
Description: partial 16S ribosomal RNA
Rfam family: Bacterial small subunit ribosomal RNA
Source: RNAcentral